GCUGAAAAAAGACAGCUGUCUUGCUUCAAUUCUACUAUAGUUUUUGGAAAACACUAAAAACAAUCACAAAUUAGGCUGUGUCAGUUCAAAGAUCCUUUAUGAAUUAUUUCCUUUCAUCUCUUUAAUUCCAGUGUUUUUAAAAGGUGAAGGCAGUUUUUUAGGUUUUUCCUGCCAUUUGAAUCAGUAAAUAGCUUGUUGAAAAUGGCUGGAAAACAUGAAAUGUGUUAAGCAAACACCUAUUAGAUUUUGUACGUAACUGAAUCCUGUGGAAAAAGGGUAUUUAACAAAAAUGGACCUGUUUACACAAUUCCAUAAUUGGACACUAUUCCUUCUACAGUUCGGAGACCUUCAAAGUUUUCAACUUUAGCCUUUGAGUAGUACAUCAGUUUGAAAUGUAACUUUGUUUAGACAACCUUUUUAAGUAUUCAGAUAUCUUUAGUUGUUCAAACUUUUUAAUUCUGAAACUUUUAAUCUCUUUUUAACAGUUUGAAAUAUCACUGGAGGGCUUUGAGAGGUAUGCUGAAUAUUUUUUCAAACCAGGAGGACCCCUUAGCUUCGACUCACUGAAAAAAGGCCUCAACUUACUACGCAUUGCACGCAGCAUCUCUGACACACUCAAAGAAAAAAUUGACAGCCUUCCAAAUAUUAUAGAAAAGAAUUUCCCUCCUCCUAAGGUCCUGUUUGGUUUCAAACUGUUUGGAAAUGAAAUAAAGUACCUUGAAUUUAGAGGAGAGUCGGAAAUCUACAAAAUGCUGAGUAAAUUUAAUCCUUACAAUAUCCUUUUGGACUUUUUCGAAGGCCAGGUAAUUUUUCAUUUUUAUAUCAUGAAUAAAAAUUUUGUUUUUUCUCUCGGGUAUACCUAAAAUGUUUACUGUUCUGCAGUCCUUUAGUUCAGUUGAAGUCAGAAUUACGUAACUGAUUUCUCUAAAAUUCGAUUGUUAUAUCAUGUCGGGUCCUGAUAACUAAGAACGCACUCAGAAUAAUAUGUUAAUCGAAAAUGUUCGUUAUAUGAUUCACAAGUGUAUGUAAGAGAGGCUAUCUAUGUGUGCCCAUUGGUGACUGUUAAGCAUUGAUGCAAGAGUAUGCAUCAUGCAUAUUCAUAUUAAACAAUAUUUUUAAAACUAUACCAAAAUUGUUACAAUCACUACAUCGGUUAAAAGUGAUUGUGCUUUAAACAUAAAUAAAAAGAAGUAGAGUGUAGCUUGAUUUUGUAAAUUUUAGUGGAGUGAAAAUAAAUGGUUAUUCAUUCUGUGCAAUUUUUCUAAUUCUGACUCUAAUUUUCUGUAGUAUGUAAUUUGACGUCCUGCAGGCUAAUUAUGGAAAUUGAUAGACAAAGCUGUGGACAGAGAAGGCAAAAAGGAUAAAUAGGGAUCCUAUUGAUGGAAGCAGAUGGUUGCAAUAGACAAAGGAGGUAGGUAAUAGACUAACUAACGGUAAUGCACAAGAGACCCUAUACUUAGUCCAUCAUUUUCUCCCAUAGUCUGUAGGAGCCACCCAUUUCAACCUAUAGGAUUGCCCCAUACUCCUGAUGUCUUCUCUAUCUAUAGCUUUGUCUAUCAAUUUCAAUAAUCAGCCCUCUGAAGUACUGUAGUUUAUUAAUUUUUAAUCAUAAAAAUUUCGGGU
Molecule: long non-coding RNA, 1623 nt
Filed under: Bemisia tabaci
Lineage: Eukaryota; Metazoa; Arthropoda; Insecta; Hemiptera; Aleyrodidae
Description: lncRNA ENSSSA1UGG011689
Source: RNAcentral